This 280-nucleotide long non-coding RNA is filed under the name Sorghum bicolor (sorghum). RNAcentral describes it as "long non-coding RNA (SBIC_LNC012842)". Lineage: Eukaryota; Viridiplantae; Streptophyta; Magnoliopsida; Poales; Poaceae. The record is from RNAcentral.
UAGGUUCUUUAAUUCACAAUUCCUGAGUUCUUUAAUUACUUUUAUUUACAUUCAAGUUAUUUAUUGGACUCCCGCUUGCAUCAAGUGCUCUAAUCUUUGAAACAUUAGAGUAGUAAUUAAUAGAUUAGACGUGGUGUUUAGUCUUGCAAUUACCUGGAAUUGCACCCAAUCCUGCGGAUUGUUGUGGUAGCCCUAGGGUGGUGACAGCCCUAACGGUCGACGUAUUCCACCUCGUUCGAAUCGGUGUUUGUAGGACCGUAGUCAGAGCUUCCUAGCCCCC